Molecule: ribosomal RNA, 1707 nt
Filed under: Chloroflexus aurantiacus
Lineage: Bacteria; Bacillati; Chloroflexota; Chloroflexia; Chloroflexales; Chloroflexaceae
Description: bacterial LSU rRNA
Rfam family: Bacterial large subunit ribosomal RNA
Source: RNAcentral
ACGACACCCGUAGUAGCGGCGAGCGAACCGGGUGAGGCCUAAACCGUGCGCGUGCCAAGGGAGCAGCCGUUGCGCGCACGGGGUUGGAGGACGACCCACGCCCAUCCUGCUCGAUGGGCCUCACGCGACCGCGUUCAGCAGAAGCAGUGUGGAACCCUGCACCAGAGAGCGUGAGAGUCGCGUAUGCGUGCGCCUCAGCGUGAGGGGUCGUUCCUGAGUAGGUCCGGGCACGAAGAACCCGGGCUGAAGCCGGGCAGACCACUGUCCAAGGCAAGCUACACGCAGUGACCGAUAGCGCACAGUACCGUGAGGGAACGGUGAAAAGUACCCCGGUGAGGGGAGUGAAAGAGACCCUGAAAUCGUGUGCUUCCACGCCGUGGGAGCCGGGCAACCGGUGACCGCGUGCCUUUUGGAGUAUGAUCCGGCGAGUAAUCCUCGGUGGCGUGGUUAAGGCAGUGCCAGCCGGAGCCGGAGUGAACGCGAGCCUGAACAGGGCGAGCGUCGCCGGGGAUUGACCCGAAACCGUGUGAGCUACCCAUGGCCAGGCUGAAGCGUCCCUAACAGGGCGUGGAGGGCCGCACCGGUGUCUGUUGCAAAAGGCUCGGAUGAGCUGUGGGUAGGGGUGAAAUGCCAAUCGAACACGGAGAUAGCUGGUUCUCCCCGAAAUGUAUUGAGGUACAGCCGCGGCAAUGGCACACCCGGAGGUAGAGCACUGUUGUUGUGCGGGGGCUUCACCGCUUACCAAGCGACGGCAAACUGCGAAUGCCGGGUGUGUGCACCGCGAGUGAGACGGCGGGUGCGAAUAUCCGUCGUCGAGAGGGAAACAACCCAGACCGCCGGCUAAGGUCCCCCAGUGGUCGCUAAGUGGGAAAGGUUGUGGCGCCGCUUAGACAACCAGGAGGUUGGCUUAGAAGCAGCCAUCCUUGAAAGAGUGCGUAACAGCUCACUGGUCAAGCAGCGCUGCGCCGAGGCUGUAACGGGGCAAAGCGACCCACCGAAGCCGCGGGUUGACCGGAAGGUCAACGGUAGGGGAGCGUCGUGACCGCAGGGAAGGGACGGCGGAAGCCGCACUGGAGCGGGCACGAGUGCGAAUGCCGGAAUGAGUAACGGAGAAGCGAUGUGGCAAUCAUCGCCACCGAAAGUCAAAGGGUUCUGCCGCACGGAUGCACCGCGGCAGGGUAGUCGGGCCUAAGGGGACGGCCACGGCCAGACCCGAUGGACAACAGGUGAAUAGUCCUGUACCGUGGAGUGGUCGCUUGACCAAUGCCGGAUGCUGAGGGGUAGUCGCCGCGGCGAGACGAGCGCCGUCCAAGCCGGUAGGGAGCAGGGCGAAGGAAAUCCGUCCUGCGCUGACCGAGAGGUGAGUGAAAGGGGGUUGGGGAACCAACCGCCAAUGGCGAGGCGCCUGUGCAGCCACGAAAGGCCGGCUCGGGAGACCACCCACGCCCGUACCGCAAACCGACACAGGUAGACAGGUCGAGGAGACCAAGGUGGACGAGUGACCCCCGGUUAAGGAACUCGGCAAAUUGACCCCGUACCUUCGGAAGAAGGGGUGCUGCGUGUAGGGUGAAGCCCCUGGCGGGUGGAGCCCGAGGCAGCCGCAGGGUCCAGGCCCGGGCGACUGGAUACCAGAACCACAGCUCCCUGCUGAAGCCGGAAGGCGACGUAUAGGGGGUGAUGCCUGCCCAGUGCCGGGAGGUUAAGGGG